UCCUCUAAAUACACACAAAAUGCCGUACGAACUUAGCGAGACAUUUGAUAAGGUACCCCAUGCAAGGCUUAUUCAGAAAGUAAGAAGGCUAGGGGAUCCAAGGGGACCUUGCUUUUGGAUCCAAAACUGACUUGCACACAGAAGGCAAAAAGCGGUUGCAGAUGGGUCACAUUCUGCAUGGAGGCCGGUGACCAGUGGCGUGCCUCAGGGAUCGACGGAGAAUGAGAGACUUAGCCUGAAGUGCUGAAUAUUUGCAGCAUUUUCUGUUUCUGUUGAAGAAGCAAAGGGUCUUUGCCAUGGUUUUGAGUCUCUUUGUUAAGAACAGUGGCUGCUGUGCUUUUGAUUCCAAGCGUCUGUAGAAAGUCAUGCAGGAAGUUCAAAGGAAACCUCAGAGUGGUAACUAUUUGGGAUCCAUCACAAAGAGAGUAAGGGGCGAACAGCAGGAUGAACUUAAAAGGAUUAUCGUGGAACAGAAACAUCAGAAGGGUCCAGUUGGACUGAGUUGUCUUCCUCUUAUAUACAGGCCACAUCCUCCUGGUUUGAUUCGCUCCUCCUCCUCUCAAUACACUCUAGCCUCCACUGCGUUUCAGAGCUCCCCAAGCAUGGAGUGUACUGGCUUCUCUUUGGAUUCUCAACUUUCCACAGCAAACAUUUACCUACCGUUCUGCUCAGCCUUUAGAGAGCGGUGUAUUGCAACAACCCAGCUGCACGAGGCACAGCCCUUCGAAAUCUAUGAAAACGACCCAGGAAAGAAAGAGUUUAACCAGCCAUGACAUCCUCUGUUCACCGGGAGCCCUGAGGAAUGAGGAAUAUAUGGGACAAAUUGCCAGUGAAUCCAUCUUCUAUUGCCGUGUGCAGAAAGUAAUAGAGGAGAUUCAAUGGAAACCCCUUCACUCACAGAGUGCUAACCAGUUACAAGACAGCAGCAGGGAUGGAUUUAAAAACACUGAUGUGGAACAGGAGCACAAGCAAAGACCAGCUGGAAUGAAUGGCCUCCCUACACUACAUGGGCCGUGUGGCUAAGCGGCUGAGACAGAGGAUUUGAAAUAGAACUGAUAUAGUUAUCAUAGAUCCACAAUAUUAACCACCAGUCUCAUAUAAAGCUAACAUCAACAGAAAAAACCCCUCCAGUGUACAGUGACCAGGGUUCAGUCCAGGCUGUGAUGAGCAGCCACAACAACUCCAGCAUCUCACAAUAACAACCAGUUGAGAGCUUACAACUUGAUUCAGUCACUAUGCAAGUUAAAAAUUUUACAGCUUUGUUGAACUUCCUUCCUGAUGUGAAGUUGCUGUAGUUUCUACAAGUGACUGACUCACUCACUCAGGAUAGAAGUGUGGCCUCUACUUAUUGUGAACUUACCGGAGCCUCACAAGGAGGGUUAACUGAAUUCAAACCUUUCUCACACUCACAACAGCCAUAGCUGCUCUCCUGGGUGAACUGGUAGGUGUUUCAGUAGCUUAGGUAACUACAAUGUGCAGGGUUAGAUUACCUAUCAGUCAAAAGCUGCUUCUACCGUGUCGGCCAUCGAUUGGCCCAUUUGAAGGAUGCUGCAGCUCUUUCCCAUCAGUUGCUUUGUGCGCCAUGGCACUGAUGUCCACUUUCAGGGGCCUCUGGGGCUUUCUUUGUCUCUGGGCACUCAUUUCACACUGAGAUCGUAACUACCUCCGAAGAACCAUUGGGAGAGUAUGCUGCAGUUAUAGGAGGGUGAAAGCUUACUCUGUCAUAAGGUGGGCUUUGAGAAUGGACCCAAAUGCAAGUCACAGACAUUGAAGUACUAGGGAGAGGACUAGGUGUAUCAAGAAAGCAAGAGAAGUGAGGAAGAAAGGACGCUGGACAUGACACAGGCCCUGGGCUUGACAAGGAUUCCGGGCCUGGGUUAGGAAUUGACUGGGUUAGCAGAACCAGGACAUGGAACUAGGAACUAGGAGCUGGGCUUGGACUCCGUGCCAGAGACUGGACAAGGACCUAGAACCUGAGUCUUGACUCGGGCUCAGACCACAGAACUAGCAGAGGACAUGACGAGGCUUGGGUAUGGACUCCAAGCCAGAGACUGGGCAAGGACCCAAAACCCGGUUCUUGACUUGGGCUCGGACUCCAGAAGUAGGCGAGGACAAGACGUGGCUACAGGAUGAGGACAGGCAACAGGACUGGAUGUGAGAGUCCUGGACAGGACAAGGGAACCCCAGCACCGGGCUGGGCAAGGUACUCCUGGACUGGGCGAGGCACAUGCACAAGACAAGAACACAAAGUUGUGGCUUGGACAGGACGAGGUUCUUGGACUAUGCUAGGACUGGACCAGACCCCGAAGCAUUGACUUGGUUGAGGAGAGACAGGAACGCAGAGCCUUGGUCGAGGGAGAGACAGGAACGCAGAGCCUUGGUCGAGGGAGAGACAGGAACGCAGAGCCUUGGUCGAGGGAGAGACAGGAACGCAGAGACUUGGUCGAGGGAGAGACAGGAACAUGGAACACAGAGCUGGAAUCCCUCCUUGAAAGCAGGACGUAGGGCACAGAAUGCAGAAUACGAUGAGACAGUUCCCAACACAAGGUAGUAGUAGACAGCUGGACCUACCUAGCAAAGGCAUGGACAGAGACAGUUUCCAACACUAGGUAUCAGCAAACAACCGGACCUACCGAGUGUGGCAAGGACACAAAGACAGUUCCCAACACUAGAUAGCGGCAAAUAGCCAGACCUACCUAGCGAAGGCGUGGACACAGAGACAGUUCAAAACAACAAAAGACAGUUCCUUAUCUUGCUUCGGUGGUUGAAUUUGACAGCGGUGAAGGCAAGGCUUCAGGCGAGACGAGGCUCCAGGAAGAAGGUGUAGGGAAGGGAUACAGACAGGCAGUUUGGACAGGAACAAUCCAGCAGCCAGAGGUGGAAUCCUGAAACUAUUUAUGAGGCCAGCCCAAACCAGAAUCAGCUGCCUCAACAGAAACAGGGGAAAACCGGAAAACCUGGAAUAAGGAACUUGGACCAGACCAUGAACUGGAAUGCGGAUUUCCCGGACAGGACCAUGACAUACUCUUAGCUGUUGAAUGUUUCCUUUAGUAGUUGUGUCAGUUGGGGAGACCAAAUGAGGCACCUGUUGAGUUUCAGUGUACUAAAUGUUUAGUGUCAUAGUUUCCAUAGAUGUUUGGUUGAAUGUUUUAUUGUUUGUCUGUAAAUAAAUGGUUAAUGUGAUCUUUCAUAAUCAGUGUCUUCUGUCUCACGAAACCUGUGAACCUUUUUCCUUGUAACAUUUAGAUAAAGAUGAAUACCUUUAAAAGUUUGUUUAAGAGAGGACCCCUGGUUGCCUGCUCCACCCCCAUAUGAGCAAUGCCGAGUCCCGGGGAGGACUGACAACGGCAUGCAAUUUGGGAGUGUCAC
Molecule: long non-coding RNA, 3369 nt
Organism: Hypanus sabinus (Atlantic stingray)
Lineage: Eukaryota; Metazoa; Chordata; Chondrichthyes; Myliobatiformes; Dasyatidae
Exons: 4
Source: RefSeq, a predicted model, not a curated record